AAAAUCCGUCGACUUUUAAAAUCGUGAGGGUUCAAGUCCCUCUAUCCCCAACCUCCAAAA
Molecule: transfer RNA, 60 nt
Filed under: Gyrinops ledermannii
Lineage: Eukaryota; Viridiplantae; Streptophyta; Magnoliopsida; Malvales; Thymelaeaceae
Description: partial tRNA-Leu
Source: RNAcentral